AGAAUCAACGCUGGCGGCGUGCCUAACACAUGCAAGUCGAACGAGAAAGUGGUAGCAAUACCAUGAGUAAAGUGGCGCACGGGUGAGUAACACGUGACUAACCUACCCUGGAGUGGGGGAUAACUGAGGGAAACCUUAGCUAAUACCGCAUAACACCUACGGGUCAAAGGAGCAAUUCGCUUCAGGAGGGGUCGCGGCAGAUUAGCUAGUUGGCGGGGUAAUGGCCCACCAAGGCAGUGAUCUGUAUCCGGCCUGAGAGGGCGCACGGACACACUGGAACUGAAACACGGUCCAGACUCCUACGGGAGGCAGCAGUGGGGAAUUUUGCGCAAUGGGGGAAACCCUGACGCAGCAACGCCGCGUGGAGGAUGAAGUCCCUCGGGACGUAAACUCCUUUCGAUCGGGACGAUAAUGACGGUACCGAGAGAAGAAGCCCCGGCUAACUUCGCGCCAGCAGUCGC
Molecule: ribosomal RNA, 461 nt
Filed under: uncultured bacterium
Lineage: Bacteria
Description: SSU rRNA
Rfam family: Bacterial small subunit ribosomal RNA
Source: RNAcentral